AUGGGGAAAAAAAGCAAGUGGUGGAGUUGGAGGAGCCAUGUCCCUUUUCACUUGAAGCAUGCGAAGGGAUUGCGUGAGGGAAAGUAUCUAGUGCAAAUUAAGGGGUCUACUUCCCUUAUGCUUUUUAGUAGAGUUCCAAAUCAAUCUUUUUUAAAAAUAGCACAUAGACAUGACAUGAAUCCAUGGUGUCACAAUAAUUCAAACAUUGCUCCGAAAACAGAAUUUAGAAUUUUGCUGCCAGUAGCGACAAUGGGCCAAAUUCGAAGCCCAACUUACAUUAAACACUAUUUAGUGUUAGAGUUGUUGUUUUUUCUCUCGACUUGUGUUACGAAUUUUAAUUUGAAUUUGUGUGACAAUAUAGAUUCAUGUCAUCUCUGCGUGCUAACUUUUGUUCAUAGUUUUCUGAAAAACCUUCAAAAGCAUUUCUGUUAUUUCUUUUUGUGA
Molecule: ribosomal RNA, 444 nt
Filed under: Triticum aestivum (bread wheat)
Lineage: Eukaryota; Viridiplantae; Streptophyta; Magnoliopsida; Poales; Poaceae
Description: partial small subunit ribosomal RNA
Source: RNAcentral